GAUGAACGCUGACAGAAUGCUUAACACAUGCAAGUCUACUUGAUCCUUCGGGUGAAGGUGGCGGACGGGUGAGUAACGCGUAAAGAACUUGCCUUACAGACUGGGACAACAUUUGGAAACGAAUGCUAAUACCGGAUAUUAUGACUGAGUCGCAUGAUUUGGUUAUGAAAGCUAUAUGCGCUGUGAGAGAGCUUUGCGUCCCAUUAGUUAGUUGGUGAGGUAACGGCUCACCAAGACGAUGAUGGGUAGCCGGCCUGAGAGGGUGAACGGCCACAAGGGGACUGAGACACGGCCCUU
RNAcentral lists this ribosomal RNA (297 nucleotides) under uncultured bacterium. RNAcentral describes it as "partial 16S ribosomal RNA". It matches the Rfam family "Bacterial small subunit ribosomal RNA", at positions 28 to 334 of the family's 1533-position model. The record is from RNAcentral.